Molecule: unclassified non-coding RNA, 841 nt
Filed under: Hevea brasiliensis (rubber tree)
Lineage: Eukaryota; Viridiplantae; Streptophyta; Magnoliopsida; Malpighiales; Euphorbiaceae
Source: RNAcentral
CUUUUUUUUUUUUUUUUAAAUGUUGAAUCACUCUAUGUACAUUCUGGAUGUGUUUAACUUGUGCAUUCAAUCAGUAGUUACAUGUCUACUGAGUAUGCACUGGAUGGUAUAUUUUCUGUGAAUGCUUUAGCUUAGGAGUCAUGUUGCUAGAGAUCAGCGAGAAAAACAGUGGUUUCUAUCUUUUCAAUCGCUUCUGAAUCUUCUUGGAUAUGCAAGUGUCAGUAGAUUCUUCAUAAUAUCUUGUUUCUUUCCAAGGUUUGACCAUUACUUACUAUCAUAUUAGGCAUGGGACUUGUGGAAAGAUGGAAGAGGCACAGAACUAGUGGAUCCAAUAUUAGGUGAAACAAGCUCAGCGAGUGAUGUCUUACGCUGCAUUCAAAUUGGUCUCUCGUGUGUUCAAGAAAGACCAGCAGAUAGAUCAACAAAGUUAGAGGCUGUGUCUAUGCUCAGCAACAAAAUAAUGAUCUCGCCUGCUCCCAAGCAACCUGCAUUUGUGAUAACUUCAAGAUUAAAUGAUGCUGACUUGGCUAAAAAUCCAAGAUCUGGCUCCUUAAAUGGUUUAACAAUUUCAGAUCUUGAGGCUCAGUAGUGUCAUGGUUCCUCUAAGGUGUGUGGCUUAUUAAUCAAAUCAAACACGUUAGCUUAAGUUUGUUAGUCUUGCAAUUACACAAGCCAUAUGCAUCGCAUUCUUCAGUGUCAAUCCUACAUGGAGAAGAUGAAAGUUUGUUCGUGAUUCAAUAAAAAAAUUACUGUGCGUAGGCCUAUGAAUUAAGAUUUCUCCAUGGUACUCUUCAAGCUACCUAUUAACUAGCUAAACCAUUAUUAUUAUUAUUAUUAUUAU